AGAUUAAGUUAUUAAGGGCGCACGGUGGAUGCCUUGGCACUAGAAGCCGAUGAAGGACGUUACUAACGACGAUAUGCUUUGGGGAGCUGUAAGUAAGCUUUGAUCCAGAGAUUUCCGAAUGGGGAAACCCAGCAUGAGUUAUGUCAUGUUAUCGAUAUGUGAAUACAUAGCAUAUCAGAAGGCACACCCGGAGAACUGAAACAUCUUAGUACCCGGAGGAAGAGAAAGAAAAUUCGAUUCCCUUAGUAGCGGCGAGCGAAACGGGAAGAGCCCAAACCAACAAGCUUGCUUGUUGGGGUUGUAGGACACUCUAUACGGAGUUACAAAGGACGACAUUAGACGAAUCAUCUGGAAAGAUGAAUCAAAGAAGGUAAUAAUCCUGUAGUCGAAAAUGUUGUCUCUCUUGAGUGGAUCCUGAGUACGACGGAGCACGUGAAAUUCCGUCGGAAUCUGGGAGGACCAUCUCCUAAGGCUAAAUACUCUCUAGUGACCGAUAGUGAACCAGUACCGUGAGGGAAAGGUGAAAAGCACCCCGGAAGGGGAGUGAAAUAGAACCUGAAACCGUGUGCUUACAAGUAGUCAGAGCCCGUUAAUGGGUGAUGGCGUGCCUUUUGUAGAAUGAACCGGCGAGUUACGAUUUGAUGCAAGGUUAAGCAGUAAAUGUGGAGCCGUAGCGAAAGCGAGUCUGAAUAGGGCGUUUAGUAUUUGGUCGUAGACCCGAAACCAGGUGAUCUACCCUUGGUCAGGUUGAAGUUCAGGUAACACUGAAUGGAGGACCGAACCGACUUACGUUGAAAAGUGAGCGGAUGAACUGAGGGUAGCGGAGAAAUUCCAAUCGAACCUGGAGAUAGCUGGUUCUCUCCGAAAUAGCUUUAGGGCUAGCCUCAAGUGAUGAUUAUUGGAGGUAGAGCACUGUUUGGACGAGGGGCCCCUCUCGGGUUACCGAAUUCAGACAAACUCCGAAUGCCAAUUAAUUUAACUUGGGAGUCAGAACAUGGGUGAUAAGGUCCGUGUUCGAAAGGGAAACAGCCCAGACCACCAGCUAAGGUCCCAAAAUAUAUGUUAAGUGGAAAAGGAUGUGGCGUUGC
Molecule: ribosomal RNA, 1088 nt
Filed under: Staphylococcus aureus
Lineage: Bacteria; Bacillati; Bacillota; Bacilli; Caryophanales; Staphylococcaceae
Description: bacterial LSU rRNA
Rfam family: Bacterial large subunit ribosomal RNA
Source: RNAcentral